AGUGGGUACAUAUCUAGUUCUCUUCCAAGGAAAAAUACAACAACUACUUACUUUCCCUUUCCCCUUGCUUUCAUCAACGCUAUCACCAAUCGGUCCCUAAAAAACCCAAAUUCUCGCCUCCAGGCAAAAUUAGGGUCUUAAGAUGACGGAUCGAAACAACUCCACAACCACUACUACCGCCGUCACCACCACCAAUACUUCAGCUGCUAAACCAAUAUGGAUGAAGCAAGCAGAGGAAGCGAAACUAAAAAGCGAGGCAGAAAACACCGCGGCAGCGAAAGCCGCAUUCGACGCGACAUUCAAAGUAUUAUCAGAUAAGGCCGAAAAAGCUGUCGAUUCGGAUUCCGAGGAGGAAGACGCGGAGAAGGAUUUGGCUAAUAAGCCAGUGGGACCAGUUGACCCCGGGAAGUGCACGGCGGCAGGUGCUGGCAUUGCUGGUGGGACCGCGUGUGCACCAGCUACGUUUGUGGUUGUUACUAAGGAUGCGGACGGGAGGAAAGUCCCGAAUGGAGGCGCGGUGAUUAGGGUUAGGGUUUCGCCGGGAGUGGGAGUUGGGGGAACGGAGCAGGAAGGGGUUGUGAAGGAUAUGGGAGAUGGGACUUACACGGUUACGUAUGUGGUGCCGAAAAGAGGGAAUUAUAUGGUUACUAUUGAGUGUAAUGGGAAAGCUAUUAUGGGGAGUCCUUUCCCUGUGUUCUUCAGUGCAGGCACUUCAACCGGAGGUUUGCUGGGUAUGGCUCCUACAACUACGUUUCCAAACCUUGUGAAUCAGACCAUGCCGAACAUGCCAAAUUACUCAGCCAGUGUUUCAGGGGCAUUCCCUGCAUUCCUAGGAAUGACUCCAGGCAUUGCUUCAGGUGCUUCAGGUGGUGCAAUUUUGCCUGGAGUUGGAGCAUCACUUGGGGAAGUUUGUCGAGAGUACCUCUAUGGCCGGUGUGCAAAAAUGGAUUGCAAGUUGGGCCACCCUCCACACAGUUUACUCAUGACUUUGUUAGCCCCAACAACUACAAUGGGGACUCUUAGUCAUGCGCCUAUGGCGCCUUCGGCAGCUGCAAUGGCUGCUGCUCAGGCUAUUGUUGCUGCCAAAGCUCUUCAAGCUCAUGCUGCUCAGGUGCAAGCACAAGCUCAGUCAGUCAAAGAUUCAUCUGGCUCGCCUGACAAAGCUCGGAAGGAGGAUGCACUGAAGAAAACACUCCAUGUUAGUAAUCUCAGCCCGCUUCUGACAGUGGAACAGCUGAAACAGCUGUUUAGUUUUUGUGGCACAGUUGUCGAGUGUGCCAUUGCCGAUUCAAAACACUCUGCUUACAUAGAAUACUCGAAACCGGAAGAAGCAACUGCUGCUUUGGCCUUGAACAACAUGGAUGUUGGGGGUCGGCCUUUGAACGUUGAGAUGGCUAAAUCUCUUCCUCAGAAACCUCUUUCGAAUUCUUCACUAGCUUCAUCUUCUCUACCGAUGAUGAUGCAGCAAGCUGUUGCCAUGCAACAGAUGCAAUUUCAACAGGCUUUGAUUAUGCAACAAACUAUGACUGCGCAGCAGGCAGCUAACAAAGCUGCAUCAAUGAAGUCUGCAACAGAGUUAGCAGCAGCUAGAGCUGCAGAAAUAAGUAAGAAGUUAAAAGCUGAUGGGUUGGUCAUUGGAGAAGAGGAAACAAAAGCAGAAACCAAGUCACCAUCCCCACCUCAAGCAAGGUCUAGAUCCAAGUCGAGAUCACCAAUUAAUUAUCAAAGAAGGUUGAGGUCACCUUCUUACUCACCUCCAUCUCGCCGCAAUAGAGACCGUAGAUCUAGGUCUCCCUUGAGAUUUCGCUAUCACUCAAGGUAUAACUAUGGAAGGCGAUCAUAUAGAGAUAGUAGAGAUAUUGUUGAUAGAAUGAGAAUGCAGGAUUUGGAUAGAUCACAUGGUCGUCAUUCACCUGUUUCAAGGAGAAGUAGAAGCAGGAGCGCAAGCCCUCGAACAAGAAAGUCCUACAGAGAUGAUUCAGGCUCGCCAAAACGUCGCCAAGAAAACUCAGCUCAAAGAUCAAGAAAAGCAGCAGACAGUGGUUCAAGAUCACCUAGGAGUCAUGGGGGACGUCGGUUAUCCCGAAGGAAUAUCACAGAUAGCAAACUCAGAUACAAAAGGCACUCACGCUCUAGGUCCAAAUCUGUGGAAGAGUCCAAUGACAGAGUGAAUGAAAUCCAAGAUAAAAAGUCAAAGCAACAUGGGAGGAGAUCUAGGUCAUUAUCUGUGGAGCUUAAACACCAUGGCAGGAGACCAUCCCAUAGAAGUUCGGAUGAAGAUGAAUCGAAUCACAGAAGCCGGUCCAGGUCAAAAUCUGUGGAAGUUAAACGCCAUUCCUAUGAGAAAGUGGGCAAAACUGAGGAUGGGAGGCUGAAGCAUCGUGAUAGGAGGUCCAGGUCAAAAUCUGUUGAUGAUAGGCACUGUUACAAGGAGAGAGGAAAUGAAAGCAGGGAUAAAAAAACAAAGCAUCGAGAUAGAGUGCGGUCUAGGUCAAUAUCUGCUGAGUCAAAUCAUCCCAGAAGAAGUAGGUCAUCCCCAAAAGGUAGGGAUGAGAGCAAGUCAAAGCACAGACGGCACUCCAGGCCAAUAUCUCCAGAAGGCAAGCGGCAUUCCAAUCACAGGAUAGAUGAAAAUAAAGAUGAAAAGUCUAAGCACUGCGGUAGACGAAUGUCAGUAUCAGCUGAAGGUAAACAUAUCAGAUCUCCAAGAAGUUCAGAGGAAAAUAAAUCAAAACGUAGGAGGCACUCUAGAUCAAAAUCUGCAGAACACAAGCGCCACUCAAAUGAUGAGGAGAUAAAAAGAGAAGAAAAUGAAACUCGUCAUGAGCAUACAUCGGACAAAACAGAAGAUGCCAAUGAGGAUGAAAAUUCUUUUACGGACAAAGAAAAAUGUAAAGAUUGUGAUUCAAAGGAACGGGUGGAAGACGUGGUAAUGGGGGGCAAAUGUGUGCUGAAUUUAAGCAAUGAAGAACCAUUGUUACUGAAAGCUGAGCAUCCCACAGCUGAACUGGAAUGAAUUUGAAGAGCGUUAGAGAACCAAAGUUAAUUCUUAAGGACAGCAGAGUCUAGAAGGCUCGGUAGAGAAGCUGUAUUUCAAAGGCAGCUGUGUUUGUGCCAUGCUUCAAUCUGAGAAGAUCCAAUCUGAGAAGCUUGCAGAGAUGCGUGGACUUAAAUCCUGCAGAAUCAGCCUUUGCUUGCAUGAUGGGCGAUUCUUAUAGAAGAUUUUUUAAAUGUUCUUUGGUUGUUGGAUUUUUCUGCCAGCUUUGGCUCCUCGUAAAUAUGAGCACUUUGUGUUUGUUUAUCUUUUGCAGGUUCACUUGUAACAUGUUGGAACUAGAGUCUUUAAGGCCCGAGCUGACUCAUGAUAAGGAUUAUAUGUUUCAAACGGUGUUCUGCUGUCAUCUGCAUCAACCAUUCAAUCUUUCUAGCAAGCUUCUAUUACUGCUAGAUGUUAUAUGUGAUGUUUCCGUUGGAGCUGCCGAGAUCAAUGACAGGAUUGUUGAUAUUUACUGAUGUAAAUGAAGGUAUGCAGUCAGUAGAGUGAGACACCUAUCUGUUAAGCCUUCCACGAGUCAUGGAAUUCUGGGACUGUUGUUAAUAACUCAAUUGGAUGCAUCUGUCUGAAGUUAAUACUUGUGUAACUGUAAUAAUAUGUUUUAAAACCUGGUGCCUUA
RNA transcript from Populus nigra (black poplar), 3674 nucleotides. RefSeq lists it as uncharacterized. The record is from RefSeq and is a predicted model, not a curated record. NCBI's taxonomy places the organism in Eukaryota, Viridiplantae, Streptophyta, Magnoliopsida, Malpighiales, Salicaceae. The transcript is spliced from 6 exons.